ACGAACGCUGGCGGCGUGCUUAACACAUGCAAGUCGAACGGAAAGGCCCUGCUUUUGUGGGGUGCUCGAGUGGCGAACGGGUGAGUAACACGUGAGUAACCUGCCCUUGACUUUGGGAUAACUUCAGGAAACUGGGGCUAAUACCGGAUAGGAGCUCCUGCUGCAUGGUGGGGGUUGGAAAGUUUCGGCGGUUGGGGAUGGACUCGCGGCUUAUCAGCUUGUUGGUGGGGUAGUGGCUUACCAAGGCUUUGACGGGUAGCCGGCCUGAGAGGGUGACCGGCCAAUUGGGGACUGAGAACCGGCCCAGGCCCCUACGGGGGGCAGCAGUGGGGAAUAUUGCAAAAGGGGGGGAAGCCUGAUGCAGCAACCCCGGGGGCGGGAUGACGGCCUUGGGGUUGUAAACCGCUUUCCCCUGUGACGAAGGGGGAGUGACGGGAAUGGGAAAAGAAGCCCCGGCAAACUACGU
Molecule: ribosomal RNA, 466 nt
Filed under: uncultured bacterium
Lineage: Bacteria
Description: partial 16S ribosomal RNA
Rfam family: Bacterial small subunit ribosomal RNA
Source: RNAcentral